AUCCAGACUCCUACGGGAGGCAGCAGUGGGGAAUAUUGCACAAUGGGGGAAACCCUGAUGCAGCAACGCCGCGUGAGUGAAGAAGUAUUUCGGUAUGUAAAGCUCUAUCAGCAGGGAAGAAGAUGACGGUACCUGAUUAAGAAGCCCCGGCUAACUACGUGCCAGCAGCCGCGGUAAUACGUAGGGGGCAAGCGUUAUCCGGAUUUACUGGGUGUAAAGGGAGCGUAGACGGCAGUGCAAGUCCGGAGUGAAAGCCCGGGGCCCAACCCCGGGACUGCUCUUGGAACUGCGUGGCUGGAGUGCAGGAGGGGCAGGCGGAAUUCCUGGUGUAGCGGUGAAAUGCGUAGAUAUCAGGAGGAACACCGGUGGCGAAGGCGGCCUGCUGGACUGCAACUGACGUUGAGGCCCGAAAGCGUGGGGAGCAAACAGGAUUAGAUACCCUAGUAC
RNAcentral lists this ribosomal RNA (447 nucleotides) under uncultured bacterium. RNAcentral describes it as "bacterial SSU rRNA". It matches the Rfam family "Bacterial small subunit ribosomal RNA", at positions 329 to 793 of the family's 1533-position model. The record is from RNAcentral.